AGUGAUUCUUUUAAAUGCAUGCCCCAUUCCUUUUGGUUUGGUUGUCUCAUAUAUGUGUGUGUGUGUGUGUGUGUGUGUGUAUAGAAACACACACAAAUACACAUACAUAAACACACAUAUGAUA
RNAcentral lists this microRNA precursor (124 nucleotides) under Otolemur garnettii (small-eared galago). Its description in RNAcentral is "miRNA (ENSOGAG00000033010.1)". Lineage: Eukaryota; Metazoa; Chordata; Mammalia; Primates; Galagidae. The record is from RNAcentral.